Molecule: long non-coding RNA, 435 nt
Organism: Quercus robur (English oak)
Lineage: Eukaryota; Viridiplantae; Streptophyta; Magnoliopsida; Fagales; Fagaceae
Exons: 3
Source: RefSeq, a predicted model, not a curated record
UUUAUUUCACUCUCAAACACAAUUGCAAACACACUCACAAACACACUCCUCUCUACCUCUCUCUCACACUCUCCACCGGUGCUCAUCCUCCACCAUCUCCACCAUCUUUUCACGACAAGAUCACCAAAAAACUCUUUAGGAGUCUUUAAGGCAUCUGCAUCUCUUUUAUUUGAGGUUCUAUCUAAUCUCCUUUGGACCUUUGAGAAUAAGGCUUUUUGCGGGUUGCAAGAGUAGGCAACGAUCGUUUUGAGACAAGUUUUUAUGGCUAGCAAUGAGACCAACUACUAAUGGAGGUUGGACUUUUGUUAUGGUGAUCAUCAGAUGAACGCACUAGAAUAGGCUUGACUCAUUCUUUUAUAUCUAAUAGUGGUUAUAACUUUAUUUCCACUAAUGGGACAAAUUAAUGAUAUGUAAUUGUAUUUAUUUAGACCUCCA